GUCAGACAUCCAUUCAUCUAAUCGGUACCUUAAUCAUUCAUGGUGAAGAUAUGCUUAAUUUCCCACUAUUUUCAGAGAUAUGUUUAUCCAUUCAGUUAUCCGUCAACAGAACAACUAAAGACUGACGAAGUUUCCAUCCUACAUGGCACGUCUAAAAUAUAAUGAAUAACUCAGUCCUCAUGACAUUGUGAGCCAUUUGAAUCCAUUUACCUUAGUUGGCCCUUCUGAUAGUUUGAGAUCAUUCAUUUGUACACCAAUGAUCGUGACAUCCUUACACUAAUAAAAACGAUGUUUUAUUUACAUUGUAUGYUGAAUAUUUUUCAGGUUUGAAAGGSAACAAAUUCUUCUAUUUGCACUAACCUUCGUGAAAACCACGUAAAAAACUUUACCAGGAUUUCGASGAUUUAAUUUGCUGGGUCAUAUCGAAGAAUGUUGAUUAUUUGCUUUACACAAGGACUCUGCUUUCUAGUUUUCGAGUACUCUAUGCAAUAAUCAUGUCAUUCCGGCAGAUGGGCUCAUCCUAAGAUCAAUACGAAGUUAGCUAGCAACACUUGGAAGACCUUUCUUUCUCAUAAAGUUAUUAUUCUUUAGCCCGGGGUAUUCAGCAAAAUUUCCCAUACUUUUUUUUUGUUUAGKGRAUUUUUYCUUUUUKGUUUUUGAAGGGAAAUUUUAAAUCAAAAAUAAUUAUCAAACAAAUAACAGGUAUUAARAGAUGAUGAUAGGAGACCAAGCCKGGUUUUUUUUUGGUUUCACUCAUUUUGCGUGGGAGUAUGCACUUUGGGAUGAUCUAUACUGGGGAGUUUGAUUUACCUACUGUUUUUGUUUUGAUUUUCYUGGGGUGCCAUGUUCUUCGGAUUGUGGUGRCCGUUCCAGGAUUCRAUCAGAAACUUUUUUGGGURAAUUCUCCUUUCUUGUCYCCAUUUAUGGAGUCAGAUAAAAAGUUGGUUGUCUUUGCUAAUUCUCACUAGAGUGUUUCUGGCAUUGCCGAAAUCAGGUAUUCCUUUUCAUUGCACAAUUUCUUAUCCUGCAGUGAGAAACCUAGAGAUCUAACUAAAAGAAAUAUAGCUGUAUCUUUGGUUUUUGGUGUGAAUAUGGGAUCACUGUAAGGACUAAUGUCAGAUUUAGGAUGUUAUUCAGAAAAUCAUGGUCUUUUCCUAACUAAUUAUCUCUUGUUUUUCUAUUUCAUAGAAGACUGGAGGGAAGAGUGGUUGCGAGGGAUUAAAAUUACUCGUUGGAGUUAUUCCAGUUGAGUUUUCUUGUUUACAUUUAAAGUUCAUUCCAGUUUCAGAUCUAAGGACUUCCUAAUUAGUGGUUUGUUACCAAUGUUCAUGUCGGGCAUGCUAGACUCUUGAACCGUGUUUGAAGUUUUAUGUACAAAAAUGGAGUAAUUGGCGAUCUUACUGAUUCCGUAUUAGUUUGGGACUGAAGACAAUUUGGAGUGUCCAGGAUGGGGAGGACGAUGAGUCGUUCUUGGAGAGGGAUUUACAUAGCACGAAUGUGAUAUUGGAAUGAUAUGAAAGUGGGAUUUUAAGAUAGAUUAGAUUUGGGUGUCUCCUUCCUUUAUUACAAACCUUUUUUUUUUU
Molecule: non-coding RNA, 1583 nt
Filed under: Candida tropicalis
Lineage: Eukaryota; Fungi; Ascomycota; Pichiomycetes; Serinales; Debaryomycetaceae
Source: RNAcentral